RNAcentral lists this ribosomal RNA (250 nucleotides) under uncultured bacterium. RNAcentral's name for it is "partial 16S ribosomal RNA". It matches the Rfam family "Bacterial small subunit ribosomal RNA", at positions 524 to 773 of the family's 1533-position model. The record is from RNAcentral.
UACGAAGGGUGCAAGCGUUAAUCGGAAUUACUGGGCGUAAAGCGUGCGUAGGCGGUUGGCUAAGUCAGAUGUGAAAGCCCUGGGCUCAACCUGGGAAUGGCAUUUGAAACUGGCCGGCUAGAGUGUGAUAGAGGAUGGCGGAAUUCCCGGUGUAGCGGUGAAAUGCGUAGAGAUCGGGAGGAACAUCCGUGGCGAAGGCGGCCAUCUGGAUCAACACUGACGCUGAGGCACGAAAGCGUGGGGAGCAAAC